GAAGAGAAGAACUUGGAAGGAGAAGAAGAAAAUCCAUGGAGAUUUUCCAUCAUCACCACCAUAUCAACUUCUUUAUCAUCAUCAUCAUCAUCACAAACUUCAUUUAUAUCUCAUUAUAUUCUUUUUGAGCAAGGUGAGUUCCAUAGAUAGAAUUAGCUUUGGAAGGGAAGAUUUCAUGACUUGGGAGUUAGGAUUUGUG
Molecule: long non-coding RNA, 199 nt
Filed under: Lathyrus oleraceus (garden pea)
Lineage: Eukaryota; Viridiplantae; Streptophyta; Magnoliopsida; Fabales; Fabaceae
Description: Pisum sativum (pea) long non-coding RNA (PSAT_LNC035455)
Source: RNAcentral